GCGCCCGUGGCUUAAUUGGAUAGAGCAACUGACUACGGAUCAGUAGACUGGGGGUUCGAAUCCCUCCGGGCGCACCA
RNAcentral lists this transfer RNA (77 nucleotides) under Candidatus Stramentimicrobium fermentans. RNAcentral's name for it is "tRNA-Arg". It matches the Rfam family "tRNA". From Rfam's summary of the family: Transfer RNA (tRNA) molecules are approximately 80 nucleotides in length. The record is from RNAcentral. Lineage: Bacteria; Pseudomonadati; Atribacterota; Candidatus Phoenicimicrobiia; Candidatus Pheonicimicrobiales; Candidatus Stramentimicrobiaceae.